CUCCCAGUAACAAUACUCCUUCAUCAACUGAUAACAAUAGUAUACAACCCUGCACUUUCAAAAGACUGCUCAAAACAUGUAAUUUCCAUCCAAUACUAAAAAUAAUAGACUCUAUUCCAACCAAUCCGAAUUCACAUAAUUUUUGUAAUCACCAAUUUUCUUUGUCGAAACACACACAGCUCUCAAUAAACAACAAUCAUAAUCUUCCAAUAAAUCCUCAUAUAAUUCAAUCACUCAGUACUCUAAUUAUAUAAUCAAUAACUCAUAAAUCAAUCUCUGAUUUAUUCUAUUGACUCACUUCUCAGUAUUCAAAAACUAUCCAUUACUCUUCAACAACAAAGAAACAAAGAGACAAAGAGGUAGCACCAAGCAUAACCCCGACUCAUGACUAUUAUAGUCUUGCACUCAGAUUAACUU
Molecule: long non-coding RNA, 417 nt
Filed under: Physcomitrium patens
Lineage: Eukaryota; Viridiplantae; Streptophyta; Bryopsida; Funariales; Funariaceae
Description: long non-coding RNA (PPAT_LNC012261)
Source: RNAcentral